This 355-nucleotide ribosomal RNA is filed under the name Bradyrhizobium sp. 11LoS20_2. RNAcentral describes it as "bacterial LSU rRNA". It matches the Rfam family "Bacterial large subunit ribosomal RNA", at positions 1 to 270 of the family's 2925-position model. Lineage: Bacteria; Pseudomonadati; Pseudomonadota; Alphaproteobacteria; Hyphomicrobiales; Nitrobacteraceae. The record is from RNAcentral.
AAUCAAGUGCCUUAAGGGUGUUCGGUGGAUGCCUUGGCGCUGAGAGGCGAUGAAGGACGUGCUACGCUGCGAUAAGCCGUGGGGAGCUGCGAAGAAGCUUUGAUCCACGGAUUUCCGAAUGGGGAAACCCACCUUCGAUAGCUGGAACUCCAAGAUCUCUAUCUUGGGGUUUGAACAGCAAUGUUUGAGACCAAGCCGUGAGGUUUUGGAUUUCCAGUUAUCAAGUGAAGGUAUGAAAUCUCUGAAUUCAUAGGAGGUUUUAAGCGAACCCAGGGAACUGAAACAUCUAAGUACCUGGAGGAAAGGACAUCAAUCGAGACUCCGUUAGUAGUGGCGAGCGAACGCGGACCAGGCC